GUGAGGAUACGGCCAGAGUCGGGACGGCAGCAGCAGCUGGUUGUAAUUCCAUCGGAGACGCUGUGAAUGGCGGAGUAGAUGCUAGGAACGGGGGAUGAAUCCUCCACGUCUGUGACACCAGUGAUGUCAGCACUGGGGGAAAAAAUAAUCCUUUGAAUUUAAUUUGAACAUUUAUAUUGGUUGCAUAUGAUUAAAAGCUGUUAAAAUGCCUUUUUUUAAGGAGUAAUCAAAACGGAGUAAAUUUUUUUAUAUCCUCUUUGAUAUGCUGAUGAGCUUCUAUUUGAAUUCAAAAGAUUUAUUACAAAUACCAUACAUACAUUUACGCAUGAACCUUAAUCUCAUAGGGCUGAGUCUACGUUACUGUAUGAACACAUUUGUUAUGAGUUAUAAGAAUACAUGGUAUUUACCUUGUGGGGUAAUCAGUCAGCCACAUGUGCCCCCACCACCCCUGAGAGAGCAGUGUCACCCAUGAUUGCAGCGAUUCUCUCCUCAAACGGGGUGAGGGCCUCUGCGCCGAUUCCUCCGCCUGUUUUGGCCACACUUUGGCGGUGGGCAGCUGUCCUCCGCUUCACAUCCACCUUAAUGUCUGACCACUUCUUCUUUUUUUGUUCAGCGUAUGGGCACUAUUCAGACUCCACAGCAUUGACAGCUACACAGACGUUGUCCCAUUCACUCCUCUUUCGCUUGUUGUUAACGCCGGAGGAAAGCGUGCCAAAAGAGGAUUUUCUUUGCGAUCGGGAUCUCAGGUGCAGUGUUCAUUUAAAUAUGAUUUCCAUAUUUAAAUGUGGACGUGGACAAGGAAGGGUCGGCUACUCCAACAUGUGCACUCAAUUCUACAUUGAUUGAGAUGUACAAAGGAAAUGUGCUUGGAUUCAUACGUAUGCACAGAUUCAUACAUCAGGAUAUUUUUGUGCAUUGUUUUCUGGAUUUGAGCGUACGCCAUAUUUCAGUAGGAAAUCCAUGCAAGUCUUUGUACAUGAGGCCCCUGGACUCUAAGGACUCAUGUCAGAAUGCUGUUCAUAGACUUAAGAUCAGCAUUCAAUACCAUCAUCCCUAAACAACUGACCUACAAACUGGACCAGCUGGGGCUCAACACUUCAAUGUGCAACUGGCUGCUAGACUUUCUGACAGGGAGACCGCAGGCAGUACGGGUCGGCAGCAACACAUUCAGCACCUUCACGCUGAACACGGGGGCCCCUCAAGGCUGUGUGUUGACCCCCCUCCUCUUCACCCUGCUGACCUAUGACUGCACACCGACAUACAGCUCCAACCUCUUCAUCAAGUUUGCAGACGACACAACUGUGGUGGGUCUCAUCAGCAACGGGGACGAGACUGACUACAGGAGUGAGGUGAGCCGCCUGGCCUAGUGGUGCAUCGACAACAAUCUCUCCCAGAACGUGGAGAAAAAAACAAGAAGAUUAUUGUGGACUUCAGGAGAGUGCACUCCCAGCAUGCUCCCCUGAACAUCAACGGUGCUGCGGUGGAGAGGGUGCACAGCACCAAGUUCCUGGGAGUGCACAUCACCGAGGACCUCUCCUGGACAAGCAACACCUCAUCACUGGCCAAGAAGCCUCACCAGCUUCUCUACUUCCUGCGCAAGCUGAGAAGAGCCAGAGCCCCGCCCCGCAUCAUGUGCUCGUUCUACAGAGGGACCACAGAGCGCAUCUUGACCAACUGCAUUACUGUGUCAUACAGAGCCUGCACUGCAUCCUGCCGCAAGACUCUCCAUCGCAUAGUGAGGGCAGCUGAGAAGAUCAGAACCUCUCUUCCCUUCCUGCAGGACAUUUACAGCAACCGCCUAUUAUUUACCAUAAUUUCUCGUUUAUAAUGCGCAUUUCCCCCCCCCCCCACAAAUAUUUUUUAUUUUUUUUGUCAAAAGUCAAUAGGGCGCAUUAUACAUAAGUAUAGGGGCAAAUGGAAAAAAUCUUUCACAUUUUAUAAAUGUAUGCCGCCAUCUAGUGGUUAUGAAAAAGCUGUACACAUUCAUUCCAAUAUGCCACUGCCACCUAGUGGUUAUAAAAAAGGUGUAGCCUACUCUUUCAUUCCAAUAUGACAGGGGUACGUAUGACUGCAUAUAUGUACAGUUGUGCUCAUAAGUUUACAUACGCUGGCAGAAUUUGUUUUUUUUUAAAUAUGACUGACUGAGCAAGAACCAUCAUUAAUUUCUUUAUGGUUUGUUUAAUGGUAAUGCUUUUAUGAAAUGCUUGACCGUUUAAUUUGAAAAUCCCUGCAAUAUUACAGUGAAAGAUUUAAGGGGGUCUGAAUACUUUCCAUACCCACUAUAUAUAUAUAUGUGUGUGUGUGUGUGUGUGUAGUAUCUAUCGACAGCAGUUGAUGACAUAAAUAUUGUGAGCGCUGUGAAGAAUCUUGGAAUCUUGAAUGUGAGACGCAUCUUCAAACAACAAAAGAUUAACAAAGUGGCAGGCCUAGACAGGCCAGCUCGCUCCAGUCUUCACACAGAUCUUCAAUAGAUCUCUGGAACUGUGCGAAGUACCAUCCUGUUUCAAACGCUCCACCAUCAUCCCAGUCCCCAAGAAACCUGCAAUCUCGGGUCUGAAUGACUACAGGCCUGCCUCCUUGACAUCUGUGGUCAUGAAGUCCUUUGAACGCCUCGUGCUGGACCACCUCAAGCGUGUCACAGGUCCCCUGCUGGACCCCCUGCAGUUUGCCUACUGAGCAAACAGGUCCACGGAUGAUGCCGUCAACAUGGGACAGCACUUCAUCCUAGAACACCUCGACAGCGCGGAGACCUACGCGAGGAUCCUAUUCGUGGACUUCAGCUCUGCGUUCAACACCAUCAUCACCUGAAGUGGGCGAUCAACAUCAACUCCGUCCUCAAAAAGGCCCAGCAGAGGAUGUACUUCCUGCGGCUUCUGAGGAAGCACGGCCUGCCACUGGAGCUGUUGAGGCAGUUCUACACAGCGGUCAUCAAAUCAGUCCUUUGUUCUUCCAUCACAGUCUGGUUUGGUGCUGCUGCAAAAAAGGACAAACUCUGACUGCAACGGACAAUCAAAACUGCUGAAAAGAUUGUCGGUACCCCCCCUACCCACUCUUGCACGCUGCCAGAACUAAGACAAGAGCGUGCAAAAUACUCUUGGACCCUCCACAUCCUGGUCACCAGCUCUUCCAGCUCCUUCCCUCAUGUAGGCGCUACCAAUCAAUGCAAACUAGAACUACAGACAUUCCAACAGCUUCUUCCCUCUUCCCAUCAACUUCUUAAACAGCUAACCUACAAUUCCAUUGUAACAUACUGCCAAUUUCUUUGUCUUGAGUUUGUUGUCACAUUUCUAUCGGGCCAAUUAUACAUUACUCGUGCACUCACUGUAGUAGUCUCGCCACACUGCACUAUUUGCAUAUCUGUUGUUGACCAAUACUGGCCACUCAUGUGCCUGAGUAGCAUCUGCACCAUUUGCACAAUCAACUGUGUAGUAUCUCCAACAUUGUCCCAGAUUGUCGCACUACUAGUCACUUUAAACUGCAUACAUUUCUUGAAGUCUCAGCGCCCUUUGCACAAUGAUCAUUGCACCGGACUAUUGCUCUAUUAGUCAUUCAAACGGCUCUCAGUGCUAGAGAACUCUGCUGCAUCUUGCACAAUUGUCCAAAAAAAAAGAAAAAUGUACGGGCAUUACUAGAUUACUAGUAACCUUUUAUUGCUCAGUGACUGUUUUUCUCAAUGUCUUUAUGUCUCAAAUGUAUUCUCUGUCAAUUGACUGUCUGUUGUCGUACUAGAGCGGCUCCAACUACCGGAGACAAAUUCCUUGUGCGUUUUUGACAUACUGGGCAAAAUAAAGAUUAUUCUGAUAUUCA
Molecule: long non-coding RNA, 3807 nt
Organism: Phyllopteryx taeniolatus (common seadragon)
Lineage: Eukaryota; Metazoa; Chordata; Actinopteri; Syngnathiformes; Syngnathidae
Exons: 2
Source: RefSeq, a predicted model, not a curated record